Molecule: ribosomal RNA, 919 nt
Filed under: Agaricus arvensis
Lineage: Eukaryota; Fungi; Basidiomycota; Agaricomycetes; Agaricales; Agaricaceae
Description: LSU rRNA
Rfam family: Eukaryotic large subunit ribosomal RNA
Source: RNAcentral
GGCGGAGGAAAAGAAACUAACAAGGAUUCCCCUAGUAACUGCGAGUGAAGCGGGAAAAGCUCAAAUUUAAAAUCUGGCGGUCUCUGGCCGUCCGAGUUGUAAUCUAGAGAAGUAAUGCCCGUGCUGGACCGUGUAUAAGUCUCCUGGGAUGGAGCGUCAUAGAGGGUGAGAAUCCCGUCUUUGACACGGACUACCAGUGCAUUGUGGUAUGCUCUCAAAGAGUCGAGUUGUUUGGGAAUGCAGCUCAAAAUGGGUGGUAAAUUCCAUCUAAAGCUAAAUAUUGGCGAGAGACCGAUAGCGAACAAGUACCGUGAGGGAAAGAUGAAAAGAACUUUGGAAAGAGAGUUAAACAGUACGUGAAAUUGCUGAAAGGGAAACGCUUGAAGUCAGUCGCGUUGGCCAGGGAUCAGCCUUGCUUUUGCAUGGUGUACUUUCUGGUUGACGGGUCAGCAUCAAUUUUGACCGCUGGAAAAGGGCCUGGGGAAUGUGGCAGCUUCGGCUGUGUUAUAGCCCCUGGUCGCAUACAGUGGUUGGGAUUGAGGAACUCAGCACGCCGCAAGGCCGGGUUUCGACCACGUUCGUGCUUAGGAUGCUGGCAUAAUGGCUUUAAGCGACCCGUCUUGAAACACGGACCAAGGAGUCUAACAUGCCUGCGAGUAUUUGGGUGGAAAACCCAAGUGCGUAAUGAAAGUGAAAGUUGAGAUCCCUGUCGUGGGGAGCAUCGACGCCCGGACCAGAACUUUUGGGACGGAUCCGCGGUGGAGCAUGUAUGUUGGGACCCGAAAGAUGGUGAACUAUGCCUGAAUAGGGUGAAGCCAGAGGAAACUCUGGUGGAGGCUCGUAGCGAUUCUGACGUGCAAAUCGAUCGUCAAAUUUGGGUAUAGGGGCGAAAGACUAAUCGAACCAUCUAGUAGCUGGU